RNAcentral lists this unclassified non-coding RNA (1604 nucleotides) under Hevea brasiliensis (rubber tree). The record is from RNAcentral. Lineage: Eukaryota; Viridiplantae; Streptophyta; Magnoliopsida; Malpighiales; Euphorbiaceae.
GUUGAGUGUUGUGUGUUGUGGCGAUGAAAAUGUUACAUUUCUGAAAUGUUGUUUUGCUUGUAAAGGAUAGAUCUAUUUCAUUGAUUUUUGUUAUUUCAAUGGCGAAAACGGAUGUUGUUGAAGGAGAUCCACUUACCGUUAAAGAGAUAGAGUUGAAAAGAGAGUUGCAGAGAUUGGUUAAGGCGAUUUUGUCUCAAGAGGAGAUUAAUGUUGAUGCUAUUGAUAAAACCCAGCAAAUCCUCCUUGAUUUGAAGGAAUUAAAGAUUAAACGAUCUCCAUCCUCUCUCGAUCUUCCUUUUCCUGACGAAUUUCGAUGUCCACUUUCUAAACAACUUAUGACAGAUCCUGUUAUGCUUGCUUCCGGUCAGACUUAUGACAGACCCUUCAUUCAGAAAUGGUUAAAAGCUGGGAAUAGGACGUGCCCUCAAACACAACAAGUACUUUCACAUACAAUUCUUACACCUAAUCACUUGAUUCGGAAUAUGAUAUCGCAAUGGUGUAAAAAUAAUGGGAUUCAAAUGCCAGACUCUGUUCAGUAUUUGAAUGAUGAAGGGUUGACUGAAGCUGACCGUGAUUUGUUCUUGUCGUUGCUUGAGAAGAUGUCUUCAACCUUAUCUGAUCAAAAAGUUGCUGCAAGAGAAUUACGUUUGUUGACGAAGAAAAUGCCUUCAUUUCGGUCACUAUUUGGAGAAUCUGCAGAUGCAAUUCCUCAACUUGUUCGUCCCCUAUCUCAAAGCAACAGCAAUGUUAAUCCAAAUCUUCAGGAAGACAUAAUCACAACACUUUUGAAUCUGUCCAUCCAUGACAACAACAAGAAGCUUGUCGCGGAGACUCCAAAAGUUAUUCCACUUCUUGUGGAGGCAUUAAGAUCAGGAACGAUUGAAACAAGGAGCAAUGCAGCAGCUGCCCUUUUCACCCUAUCUGCCCUUGAUUCUAAUAAAGAGCUUAUCGGAAAAUCUGGUGCCCUUAAACCACUGGUUGAACUUCUAGAUGAAGGGAACCCAGUCGCAAUGAAGGAUGUUGCAUCAGCUCUUUUUAGUCUUUGCAUUAUUCAGGACAAUAAGGCGAGAGCGGUUAGAGAUGGUGCUGUGAGGGCUAUCCUGAAAAAGAUAAUGAGUAACGUGCAUGUCGAUGAGUUGCUAGCUAUACUAGCUAUGCUAUCAAAUAAUCAAAAGGCAGUGGAGGAGAUGGGUGACCUUGGGGCGGUUACAUGUUUGCUUAAUAUAAUAAGGGAGACCUCGUGUGGUCGCAGCAAGGAGAAUUGUAUUGCAGUCCUUUAUACAAUCUGUUACAGUGAUCGAACCAAGUGGAAGACAUUAAGGGAUGAGGAGAAAACGUAUGGGACAAUCUCUCAACUUGCUCAAAAUGGUACAGCAAGAGCCAAGAGGAAGGCUAAUGGUAUUCUAGACAGACUGAACAGGGCUAUCAAUCUUACUCAUACUGCAUAAAAGAAGCGAGCAGGCAGUUUGAAGAACAAAAUGUGUAAAUUCUGGUCUUUCCUUUCAUAAAAAAGUAUUUGAGGCAUGUUGUGGUUCGCUUGCAACCUUACAUUCUGUACAUUCUAUCUGAGAUUUACAACCGAUUGUGAAUAAUUUAUUAUGAAG